CAGCCGCCGCGGGAAUACGAAGGGGGCUAGCGUUGUUCGGAUUUACUGGGCGUAAAGCGCACGUAGGCGGACUUUUAAGUCAGGGGUGAAAUCCCGGGGCUCAACCCCGGAACUGCCUUUGAUACUGGAAGUCUUGAGUAUGGUAGAGGUGAGUGGAAUUCCGAGUGUAGAGGUGAAAUUCGUAGAUAUUCGGAGGAACACCAGUGGCGAAGGCGGCUCACUGGACCAUUACUGACGCUGAGGUGCGAAAGCGUGGGGAGCAAACAGGAUUAGAUACCCCCGUAGUCCCUGUCUCUUAUAC
RNAcentral lists this ribosomal RNA (301 nucleotides) under uncultured bacterium. RNAcentral's name for it is "partial 16S ribosomal RNA". It matches the Rfam family "Bacterial small subunit ribosomal RNA", at positions 509 to 807 of the family's 1533-position model. The record is from RNAcentral.